RNAcentral lists this ribosomal RNA (497 nucleotides) under uncultured bacterium. RNAcentral's name for it is "partial 16S ribosomal RNA". It matches the Rfam family "Bacterial small subunit ribosomal RNA", at positions 28 to 507 of the family's 1533-position model. The record is from RNAcentral.
GACGAACGCUGGCGGCGUGCUUAACACAUGCAAGUCGAACGGUGAAGCGCGUUCCUUUUUGGUGGGUGUGGAUGAGUGGCGAACGGGUGAGUAACACGUGAGUAACCUGCCCCCUUCUUCUGGAUAACCGCAUGAAAGUGUGGCUAAUACGGGAUAUUCUGGGUCUGUUGCAUGAUGGGUCGGGGAAAGAUAUUGUUUCGGUGUGGGAUGGGCUCGCGGCGUAUUAGCUAGUUGGUGGGGUGAUGGCCUACCAAGGCGACGACGGGUAGCCGCCCUGAGAGGAUGGUGGGCCACACUAGAGGGAAGGCGCGGUCGAGCAUACUACGGGGGGAAGCAGUAGGGAAUAUUACGCAAUGGGGGACAGAAUGACGGAGCAGCGACGCGUGGGGAGUGAUGGUCUUCGGCUCGUAGUAAACUGCUAUCGCGAGUGAAGAAAUGUGGCAGUAUUUGUGGGCGUCUUGACGGUACCUGGACAAGAAGCCACGGCUAACUACGUG